RNAcentral lists this ribosomal RNA (465 nucleotides) under Vreelandella stevensii. RNAcentral describes it as "partial 16S ribosomal RNA". It matches the Rfam family "Bacterial small subunit ribosomal RNA", at positions 338 to 795 of the family's 1533-position model. Lineage: Bacteria; Pseudomonadati; Pseudomonadota; Gammaproteobacteria; Oceanospirillales; Halomonadaceae. The record is from RNAcentral.
CCUACGGAGGGCAGCAGUGGGGAAUAUUGGACAAUGGGCGAAAGCCUGAUCCAGCCAUGCCGCGUGUGUGAAGAAGGCCUUCGGGUUGUAAAGCACUUUCAGUGGGGAAGAAAGCCUUGGGGCUAAUACCCUCGAGGAAGGACAUCACCCACAGAAGAAGCACCGGCUAACUCCGUGCCAGCAGCCGCGGUAAUACGGAGGGUGCGAGCGUUAAUCGGAAUUACUGGGCGUAAAGCGCGCGUAGGCGGUCUGAUAAGCCGGUUGUGAAAGCCCCGGGCUCAACCUGGGAACGGCAUCCGGAACUGUCAGGCUAGAGUGCAGGAGAGGAAGGUAGAAUUCCCGGUGUAGCGGUGAAAUGCGUAGAGAUCGGGAGGAAUACCAGUGGCGAAGGCGGCCUUCUGGACUGACACUGACGCUGAGGUGCGAAAGCGUGGGUAGCAAACAGGAUUAGAUACCCCGGUAGUC